Molecule: non-coding RNA, 217 nt
Organism: Pelobates cultripes (western spadefoot toad)
Lineage: Eukaryota; Metazoa; Chordata; Amphibia; Anura; Pelobatidae
Source: the annotation of a GenBank genome assembly
CUCUUUAGGAAAGCUUAUGGCCUCUCAGAGUAACCUCUACCACACAUACCUGUUACUUGCUCUCCUAAAGGACAGCACUCUACUCUCUCCUCCCAGCUCUGCUUCACUCUCACCUUAUUUGACUGCUAUCUACUGUCCUAUUGUGUUUUAUACCCCACCUUCUAUAGACUGUAAGCCUGUGUGAGCAGGGUCCUCUUCUACCUAUCGUAAGUUUUUU